This 440-nucleotide ribosomal RNA is filed under the name uncultured bacterium. Its description in RNAcentral is "partial 16S ribosomal RNA". It matches the Rfam family "Bacterial small subunit ribosomal RNA", at positions 338 to 795 of the family's 1533-position model. The record is from RNAcentral.
CCUACGGGAGGCAGCAGUGGGGAAUAUUGGACAAUGGGGGGAACCCUGAUCCAGCGACGCCGCGUGAGGGAAGAAGGAUUUCGGUAUGUAAAGCUUUAUCAGCAGGGAAGAAAAUGACGGUACCUGACCAAGAAGCCCCGGCUAAUUACGGGCCAGCAGCCGCGGCAAUACGGAGGGGGCAAGCGUUAUCCGGAUUUACUGGGGGUAAAGGGAGCUUAGACGGUUCAGCAAGUCUGAUGUGAAAGGUCGGGGCCCAACCCCGGGACUGCAUUGGAAACUGUUGAACUGGAGUACAGGAGAGGUAAGCGGAAUUCCUAGUGUAGCGGUGAAAUGCGUAGAUAUUAGGAGGAACACCAGUGGCGAAGGCGGCUUACUGGACUGUAACUGACGUUGAGGCUCGAAAGCGUGGGGAGCAAACAGGAUUAGAUACCCUUGUAGUC